This 255-nucleotide ribosomal RNA is filed under the name uncultured bacterium. Its description in RNAcentral is "partial 16S ribosomal RNA". It matches the Rfam family "Bacterial small subunit ribosomal RNA", at positions 524 to 776 of the family's 1533-position model. The record is from RNAcentral.
UACGUAGGGUGCGAGCGUUGUCCGGAAUUAUUGGGCGUAAAGAGCUCGUAGGCGGUCUGUCGCGUCGAUCGUGAAAACUUGGGGGCUUAACCCUGAGCUUGCGGUCGAUACGGGCAUGACUGGAGUUCGGCAGGGGAGACUGGAAUUCCUGGUGUAGCGGUGAAAUGCGCAGAUAUCAGGAGGAACACCGGUGGCGAAGGCGGGUCUCUGGGCCGAUACUGACGCUGAGGAGCGAAAGCGUGGGGAGCAAACAGG